This 184-nucleotide unclassified non-coding RNA is filed under the name Trichophyton verrucosum. Its description in RNAcentral is "ITS2". The record is from RNAcentral. Lineage: Eukaryota; Fungi; Ascomycota; Eurotiomycetes; Onygenales; Arthrodermataceae.
CAACCCCUCAAGCUCGGCUUGUGUGAUGGACGACCGUCCGGCCCCCUCUUUCGGGGGCGGGACGCGCCCGAAAAGCAGUGGCCAGGCCGCGAUUCCGGCUUCCUGGGCGAAUGGGCAAUCAAACCAGCGCCCUCAGGACCGGCCGCUCUGGCCUUCCCCCAAAUCUCUCUGAGAUUUUUUUCAG